This 331-nucleotide small RNA is filed under the name Pan troglodytes (chimpanzee). RNAcentral's name for it is "processed transcript". Lineage: Eukaryota; Metazoa; Chordata; Mammalia; Primates; Hominidae. The record is from RNAcentral.
GGAAAGCCGGCCUACUCCUUCCACGUGUCUGCGGACGGGCAGAUGCAGCCGGUUCCCUUCCCCUCGGAUGCACUGGUAGGCGCGGGCAUCCCGCGGCACGCCCGGCAGCUGCACACGCUGGCCCAUGGCGAGGUGGUCUGUGCGGUCACCAUCAGCGGCUCCACACAGCAUGUGUACACGGGCGGCAAGGGCUGUGUGAAGAACCGAGACAACUACAUUCGUUCCUGCAAGUUGCUGCCGGAUGGCCGGAGUCUGAUCGUGGGCGGUGAGGCCAGCACCUUGUCCAUUUGGGACCUGGCGGCGCCCACCCCCCGUAUCAAGGCCGAGCUGA